AGUGAACGCUGGCGGUAGGCCUAACACAUGCAAGUCGAACGGCAGCACAGUAAGAGCUUGCUCUUACGGGUGGCGAGUGGCGGACGGGUGAGGAAUACAUCGGAAUCUACUUUUUCGUGGGGGAUAACGUAGGGAAACUUACGCUAAUACCGCAUACGACCUACGGGUGAAAGCAGGGGAUCUUCGGACCUUGCGCGAUUGAAUGAGCCGAUGUCGGAUUAGCUAGUUGGCGGGUUAAAGGCCCACCAAGGCGACGAUCCGUAGCUGGUCUGAGAGGAUGAUCAGCCACACUGGAACUGAGACACGGUCCAGACUCCUACGGGAGGCAGCAGUGGGGAAUAUUGGACAAUGGGCGCAGGCCUGAUCCAGCCAUACCGCGUGGGUGAAGAAGGCCUUCGGGUUGUAAAGCCCUUUUGUUGGGAAAGAAAAGCAGCAGGUUAAUACCCCGCUGUUCUGACGGUACCCAAAGAAUAAGCACCGGCUAACUUCGUG
RNAcentral lists this ribosomal RNA (492 nucleotides) under uncultured bacterium. RNAcentral's name for it is "partial 16S ribosomal RNA". It matches the Rfam family "Bacterial small subunit ribosomal RNA", at positions 29 to 507 of the family's 1533-position model. The record is from RNAcentral.